RNAcentral lists this ribosomal RNA (880 nucleotides) under Rhytidhysteron mengziense. Its description in RNAcentral is "SSU rRNA". It matches the Rfam family "Eukaryotic small subunit ribosomal RNA", at positions 142 to 1030 of the family's 1831-position model. The record is from RNAcentral. Lineage: Eukaryota; Fungi; Ascomycota; Dothideomycetes; Hysteriales; Hysteriaceae.
GAUAACCGUGGUAAUUCUAGAGCUAAUACAUGCUAAAAACCCCAACUUCGGGAGGGGUGUAUUUAUUAGAUAAAAAACCAAUGCCCUUCGGGGCUCCUUGGUGAAUCAUAAUAACUUAACGGAUCGCAUGGCCUUGCGCCGGCGACGGUUCAUUCAAAUUUCUGCCCUAUCAACUUUCGAUUGUAGGGUAUUGGCCUACAAUGGUAUCAACGGGUAACGGGGAAUUAGGGUUCGAUUCCGGAGAGGGAGCCUGAGAAACGGCUACCACAUCCAAGGAAGGCAGCAGGCGCGCAAAUUACCCAAUCCCGACGCGGGGAGGUAGUGACAAUAAAUACUGAUACAGGGCUCUUUUGGGUCUUGUAAUUGGAAUGAGUACAAUUUAAAUCCCUUAACGAGGAACAAUUGGAGGGCAAGUCUGGUGCCAGCAGCCGCGGUAAUUCCAGCUCCAAUAGCGUAUAUUAAAGUUGUUGCAGUUAAAAAGCUCGUAGUUGAACCUUGGGCCUGGCUGGCCGGUCCGCCUCACCGCGUGCACUGGUCCGGCCGGGCCUUUCCUUCUGGAGAGCCGCAUGCCCUUCACUGGGUGUGUCGGGGAACCAGGACUUUUACUUUGAAAAAAUUAGAGUGUUCAAAGCAGGCCUUUGCUCGAAUACAUUAGCAUGGAAUAAUAGAAUAGGACGUGCGGUCCUAUUUUGUUGGUUUCUAGGACCGCCGUAAUGAUUAAUAGGGAUAGUCGGGGGCAUCAGUAUUCAAUUGUCAGAGGUGAAAUUCUUGGAUUUAUUGAAGACUAACUACUGCGAAAGCAUUUGCCAAGGAUGUUUUCAUUAAUCAGUGAACGAAAGUUAGGGGAUCGAAGACGAUCAGAUACCGUCGUAGUCUUAAC